GCGCUCAUAGCUCAGCUGGAUAGAGCACUUGGCUACGAACUAAGGGGUCGGGAGUUCGAAUCUCUCGUGAGCGCACCA
This 78-nucleotide transfer RNA is filed under the name Acinetobacter pittii. Its description in RNAcentral is "tRNA-Arg". It matches the Rfam family "tRNA". From Rfam's summary of the family: Transfer RNA (tRNA) molecules are approximately 80 nucleotides in length. The record is from RNAcentral. Lineage: Bacteria; Pseudomonadati; Pseudomonadota; Gammaproteobacteria; Moraxellales; Moraxellaceae.